Non-coding RNA from Potamilus streckersoni, 77 nucleotides. The record is from the annotation of a GenBank genome assembly. Lineage: Eukaryota; Metazoa; Mollusca; Bivalvia; Unionida; Unionidae.
ACUCCGGUGGCCUAGUGGUUAGAGCGUCCGCUUCGGAUGCGGGAGGUCGUGGGUUCGAUUCACGAUUCCCCAGUGCU